AUAGUCAAGUCAAAGAGGUGAAAGAGGCCUUGUGUCCGGUAGUAUUGCGGCAUUCCCUCUUAUCACUACCUAGAGUUAAUAUCAAAUUUGGGCAAUUAGAAAUUUAGUUCGCGUGAUCAAUUUAGACUGCUUGUUCAAUUCGUAAGCUAAAAUCCUUAACCAGCUCCUCGAAUAUUAUCAGGCAAAUUAUUUCAUCAUGGACAUCACCAGUGAGUCGCCUUUAGAAGUACUUUCAAGAGCCGCCUCCAUGCGAGCAGUUCAGGACAAUAUUCUAGGUCUACCUCCAUCAUACGGUCUGAUCAGAGAACAGGAGUGGGAAAACGGUCGGGUGGUCAGAUGUUAGGGGAAGGAUGCAGCGCGGGGAAGAAAUGUCUGUUGCUUCGAUCAAUCACUUCCCUGUCACUUGCCCUGUCCCGUCUCGAGAAAAGGUAGAAUGAAAUAGAAUCCUGAGAAUUUAUAUUGGUUUCAUUUCAUAGAUGAUUGACUCAAAUUUUUGACCUCGUAACGUUUCUUCAGCAACCCAAUACUAUCGAACAGAAUGUUGUUCUUCAUCCAAUACUGAGUUUCUUUUUGAGUCGUGGAGCUUUUAUCUUAAAGUAUCGGCGAAAAUGAAACCAAAAUCACUCUGAAACUGCUGCGUAAACUGUGCACGGAAUGCGAGCUUUCAUCAAUUAUUGCCGUGCAGGGUCGGCCGACGAUUGUGUUUGACAUAAUCUGACGUGCUCCGAUACGUCCCGCUGCGUUCUGUCGUUUCGAUUUUCUACCUGGUCAGCACUGCCAGGUAACUUUGAGUUUCUCAUAAUGUUUCCUCCAAUACUAUGCCAAUGACAUUCAUAUUAGAAACUACGUAAGACGGGAGAAUGUUCCCAUUAAGAACGGUAGG
Molecule: long non-coding RNA, 883 nt
Filed under: Bemisia tabaci
Lineage: Eukaryota; Metazoa; Arthropoda; Insecta; Hemiptera; Aleyrodidae
Description: lncRNA ENSSSA3NGG003806
Source: RNAcentral